Molecule: long non-coding RNA, 1658 nt
Organism: Marmota monax (woodchuck)
Lineage: Eukaryota; Metazoa; Chordata; Mammalia; Rodentia; Sciuridae
Exons: 3
Source: RefSeq, a predicted model, not a curated record
ACAGUUUAACUGUUUCAAUAAAGAGAAGGCCAAAUAAUAUCUGAACUUCAGAAUUCUCCCCUGAGUCUCUGAAUCAGUUAAGAAAACAGAGGACUCUGUGGCUUUCUGCCUCAAGUUUCAAGAUUCCUUUUCAGGGUUGAAUUGUGGGUGUGCCCAGUAGAAUCAAAACCCUUGGUUCAACCAGAAAGAGAGUGAGAGCGAGAGCAAGACAGAGGGAGAAGGAGAGAGAGAAGAAGAGAAAGAGAGGAAGAGAGGAAGAACCUGUGAAAUUGGGUGGGUUCAUGAAGAUCUGUGAACAAAUAAAAGAAUUAAGCCUAGAAGGUGAAGGUGAAGCCCCUGUGCCUGAGAGUAAAGUCCUUAAGAAGACACAGUGAAAAAAAAAGAAGCAUCUAUUUUCAAGCCAGUAAGGGAGAUCUCACCAGGAAUCAACCAUGCUCAUACCUUGAUCUUGGACUUUUAGCCUCCAGAUAUAUACUGAAGAGAAAGAAAAUGAAACACCAGUAUAAGCCUUUACAUGAAUGUUCAUUUAUCAUAAGCCCAAUUUGGAAAUAGCAUGAAUUUCUAUUAACAGAUGAAUGAAUAAGCAAUGGAAUACUACUCAACAAUAUAGAGGAAUGAAUCACCAGCACAAUCAAAAAAGGAUGAAUAUUAAAAAUAAUUUUGCUGAAUGAAAAAUAUAAACAAUGUGGACUGUAUAAUUGAAUUAUAUGAACUUCUUGAGAUUUAAACUUAUCUAUACUAACAAAAAGCACCUAGUGGUUGCCCCAGGAUGGGUGGGAGAAAUUAUGAAGGACACAAAGAAACAUUUGGGAGUGAUGAAUAUGUUUAUUAUCUUGAUUAAGAUGAUGGUUUUGUGGCUGUACACAUGUGUCAAAAGUUAUGCAAUGUCACAUUUUACACAUGUGCAAUUUAUUGAAUAUAUUAUAUCUUAAUAAAGCCAUUAAAAUGGUAUGUGUUAAACAAAAAAUGAAGUAAUAUGUAAUAAAAACAUAAAACAAAAUGUGAAGAUAAUAUUUAAAGCAUUUCAUAUUGGGGGAGGAGUUUCAAGAUAUAAUUUACAUUUAAAUUUGUUAUAUAAUUACAAGAGUAAAUAUUAAAGGUGAAAAGCAGCAUAUUUAACUCUCAAAUCAAAAUAAAGAAAAAUAGAAUUUAAGAAAUCCAUCUUAAGAAAAAUAGGAAAGAAGGAAAAAACAGAAAAAUAUUGAUAUCCAAAAAUCUCAAAAUAUAAGGAAAAAAUUAGUUUGAAUAUAUACGCAAUGAAGUUACUAUAACUUAAUGGGUUAAAUGACAGUUACUAUAACUAAAUGGCUUAUUGGAAUAAAAGUGACGAAAACAAAAGCUAGGUCCUUGCAGUUUACAAGAAAUGUUUAAGACAUAAAUAUGCCAAAAAAAUGAAAGCAAAGAAUGGAAAAUAAUAUACUAGGCAAAUAAUAACAAAAACAAAGUUGAUGUGGCAAUGUUAAUACCAGACACCAUUGAUUAGGGGAAAACUCAUUGAUAAGUAUUUUUAAUGUUUUAAAUAUAAUUCUUUUUAUUAGCACAUUGUAUUUAUACAUAAUACUGGAGUUCAUUUUGACAUUCAUGGAAUAUAAUUUGCUCCAUUUCAGUUCCCAAUACUUCCCUUUCCCUCUCUUCCUCCCUCCCUCUAUUCCCUUUCC